CUGAUUUUUUUCUUUAUUUUUUAUUUUAAUUGAAGAAUGGAAAAUCCUAAAGUAACGCGAUAUACAUAUUAAUAUUAUCUUCUCAUUGCAAUGUGAAUGAAUAAAACUUCAACUCUGAAUCAGAAAUACCAAAUUCAUAUUUCCGUGUGAAAGCAUUGGAAGGGGUUGGUGAACUUCAUUUCUUCGUUGGGGGGCCGCCAGAUCAGGGCUGC
RNAcentral lists this long non-coding RNA (212 nucleotides) under Capsella rubella. Its description in RNAcentral is "long non-coding RNA (CRUB_LNC004484)". Lineage: Eukaryota; Viridiplantae; Streptophyta; Magnoliopsida; Brassicales; Brassicaceae. The record is from RNAcentral.